GAGGCAGUUUGUUUGUGAAGUUCUUGUGGUGAGCCUUGACAUCGGUGAGCAUCCAUCUCAACUGAAGGCCUCAGAGUUGAUUUUUCUUUGCCAUUGAGAUACCAACAUCUACCACCAGAAACCUACCCUUCAGCUUACAGCUCUUUUCACAGGUGCAUUUCCCUUCCAGAAUCACGGAAUUAUCAAGGUUGGAAAAGACCUAGAAGAUCA
Molecule: non-coding RNA, 210 nt
Organism: Coturnix japonica (Japanese quail)
Lineage: Eukaryota; Metazoa; Chordata; Aves; Galliformes; Phasianidae
Source: RefSeq, a predicted model, not a curated record